UGCUCUGUUCUCUCCCUUCCUUGCUGCGCGAUGGCUGUCAAAAGCCGCCUUGUUGUUAUGCGACUGUGGAAAGGGACCUCUUCUCCCGGGUAGAUAUCAUUACCUCUUUUUUACCGGAGGAGAAGGUAAGGGGCCUUUAUAGGGUUUCGGAAGGGACGAAAGGGGCGAGUGAUGUUUCGGAACUUGGACUGUUUUAGGUGGGGUUUAAUGGAGGGUUUUGCUUGCAGGGCAGAGAAAGGAACUGCGAGCGUGAAAUGUAGAAGCGUGAGGACCGAGGCAAACGAUACAGCGGAUGUCAAAGAAGGCAGAGAUAUGGAAAGAAGAACAGAGACUCUUCUUCCCAGCAACAUUUAAGUGGUGGCUCAGCAAAUCUCCC
Molecule: long non-coding RNA, 376 nt
Filed under: Musa acuminata (dwarf banana)
Lineage: Eukaryota; Viridiplantae; Streptophyta; Magnoliopsida; Zingiberales; Musaceae
Description: long non-coding RNA (MACU_LNC000109)
Source: RNAcentral